GGAUUGUUACAGCUAUGGAGAUUUCGAAUUUGAGAAAAUUAAUUCUAAUGCUUCUAUUUCUCAGCUCAUUUCAACUGUGUAAAGCAUUUGGAGGAGUUGUUAAUCCGCUAGCGAAGUUGAGAUUCGACGGAAAAAAUGGUGAGUUUAGGAUUUUGCAGGUGGCGGAUAUGCACUACGGAGAUGGAAAAACGACGCCGUGUGAAGAUGUGUUGCCGAAGCAGAUGUCUUCGUGUUCCGAUCUCAAUACUACGGAUUUCAUUUUCAGGAUGAUUCACGCCGAGAAACCUCAUCUCAUCGUGUUCACCGGGGACAACAUAUUUGGAUCUGAUGCUACAGAUCCUGUAAAUUCCAUGGAUGCUGCUUUUGCUCCUGCAAUAUCUUCAAACAUACCAUGGGCUGCAGUACUAGGAAAUCAUGACCAGGAAUCUACACUCUCAAGGGAAGGCGUGAUGAAACAUAUCAUUGGCAUGAAAAGUACUUUAUCUCAAUUGAAUCCUCCCGACGUUCCUGAUAUUGAUGGUUUUGGGAAUUAUAAUCUGGAAGUCCAUGGGACUGAGGGUUCCGAGCUGACUAAUAAGUCCGUUCUCAAUCUGUAUUUCCUUGACAGUGGAGAUUACUCUACUGUUCCAUCCAUCCCUGGUUAUGGUUGGAUUAAACCCUCUCAACAGUUCUGGUUUCAACGCACCUCUAGGAAGCUUAAGAAAACUUACCUGCACGAUUCAAAUGCUAGGAAGGCUCCUGCUCCAGGACUUGCUUACUUUCAUAUUCCACUUCCUGAAUAUGCAAGUUUUGACUCAUCAAACUUCACAGGGGUUAGACAAGAAGGCAUAAGCUCUGCUUCAAUAAAUUCAGGUUUCUUCACCACUAUGGUGGAAAGUGGUGAUGUAAAGGCAGCAUUUGCUGGCCAUGAUCACAUAAAUGAUUUUUGUGGCAAGUUGAUGGACAUAAAUCUUUGCUAUGCUGGAGGAUUUGGAUAUCACGCUUAUGGGAAGGCUGGAUGGUCAAGG
RNAcentral lists this unclassified non-coding RNA (1007 nucleotides) under Hevea brasiliensis (rubber tree). The record is from RNAcentral. Lineage: Eukaryota; Viridiplantae; Streptophyta; Magnoliopsida; Malpighiales; Euphorbiaceae.